Long non-coding RNA from Ahaetulla prasina, 3846 nucleotides. RefSeq lists it as uncharacterized. Lineage: Eukaryota; Metazoa; Chordata; Lepidosauria; Squamata; Colubridae. The record is from RefSeq and is a predicted model, not a curated record. The transcript is spliced from 2 exons.
ACUUCACUCCUAAAUCUUAGUUUAAUAUUAUCAAAUGAUUCAGGAGUCCUAUCAUUAUCAUAAAAAUUACACAAUAAUUUGUUCUAUAAAAUAAUUAUGAAGCACCAUUGGUUGUUUUAACAAUACAAGAAUACAAGAUUAUUUCUUGUCCCAUCCCAUCAUUAUCCUAAUUAAUAUAUUAGUAUAUUAAAAAUAAAUAUAUUUCAUAUGGAACCAUUAAAUUUGACUUCAGGCUUUGAAGUUAAUAUUCCACAUAAAUGGAAGCAAUUAUUAAAUAUCUUCUAACAAAAAAUGAAGAAUUAACAUUCAGUGACUAAACAACACAAUGUCUGAAUCAUUGGGGUAAUCCUAAAGACUUGAUGAUAUACAGAUUUGUCAAUUAGCUUUUAGCAAUGUAGUUUUCUUCAGGCUGUAAUGCCAAAUUAAUUUUUUAGUAGAGCUACAAGAGUUUAUUUAUUGUAAAAAUGUGAAUACAGCCCUUUCUAAUUCAAGGCAAUUCACCCUAUAAUAGAUCAAACUUUUUAGUUGUAAUUAAACAGUUUGUCAAAAAUCAUUCAUUAACCCAAGCAAAAUUGUUUAUGUGUCAGAAAGAAUCCAGAUUGGACUCAAAAAUUUCAUAAUCACUACACUAGUUCUAUAAAACUGCUUUAAAAUAUUAAUGUUUAACCAUAUACAACACUCGUUCACUUAACACAAGCUUUUAGUGCAUGCCUCAGACAUGAUUUGCUUAAAACUGAAUUUCAGAAGCAUGAAAAAACUUUACUGAAUUAUGCAUUCAGUUUAAAAGGGUGUAAGUAAGACUCACCUAUGUGGGAACUUAACAAUACUGAACAUACUUAGGGUAGGUUCACACAUAUAAACCAAGUGCUUUUCCCAUCCUGUUGUAAGAAUUUUUAAAAAUAGGACUUUGUAGAAAAGUAUAUGAUGACUUUUCCUUCUAUACAGAUGCAUGUUUCCAUAAUUAUUUUAACUGUACUUUAAAAGACAACCAUUAACUGCCAUUGCACUAAUAAAUUCAUUUAUUAAUAAAUACACCUAUUUCAUUAAUGAUAACUUGGAUAUGAUUUAGGCAUGAAGUUUACAAUAGAAGGCUGCAUAGAGAAAAAAGACCAGUUUCUAUGUGUGAACUAUCCUACUUGUUCUAAUGAUCCCACAGUAUAGGUCUUGCCCAUACAGUAAGUUAUGUGUGGGUAUUUUCUGUAUGUUUCAUUUCUGUUGAGUUCAAUAAGUGAUUUCUAGCAUAGGUACUAAACACAUACAGACCUGUAGAUGCCUUGCAUCUGCAGUUAACUACAAAUAUCUACAAGAAUUUGAUGUACUAGCUACCAAAUCAAAAUGAUGAAGAAAGACUGAAAUAGGAAUGUAUUCAAAACAUAAAAGUAAACAGGACAAAGGGGGGGAAAAGCACACAAAGAGAGAGAGAGAGAGAGAGAGAGAGAGAGAGAGAGAGAGAGAAAGGCUACAAGUCCCAUGAAGCAAAAGAGUGGAUGAUAGCACAGGGGCGCCUCACUUACCAUCUUUUUGUUAUUCUACUUCAACAGGUCAAGAAAGAUGAAGAAAAGGCAGAAGCAAGAGAAUCAGAAGAGGCCCUGGUGAAACCUUUAUCCAAAUUAUUUCAAGUAUACAUAACAGAAACAAAGCAGAAAAACAGAUGCAGGUGGAAAUGCUUUGAAUAUAGCAUACUUCAAGAUGCGAAAAUAUUUUGACCGACAAGCAAAUAAGAAACCAGCAUUUUAAUUUAGAAUACAUCAGUUUUACUAAACAGCUUGGCAAUGUUUAGAAUACGAAAAAUAUUUUGAGAUAUCUUAUCUGGGAUACUUUCAAUGGUGUUGGCAGUUUCCCUAAAAGUUUUCUAUUUUAAUGUUUCUUUAAUAUAUUGCAAAAACCCAAUAUUCAAAAUAUAUGACAAGAACAACAUCACCAUAGUUACAGGCUUCAUGAAUAAAAUUUCACAUUGCUCUAAAAAUAGAUUAUGCAUUGACUUAGUAAGAAGUGUGUCCCAAUUUGCAUUUAUAUUAGCAAUAACAAAAGUAGUUUUCUAUAUUUGUUAAUAUACUCAUAGGCCAAUAUUUGUAUAUUAACGCCUAUCUUCCUAUUCAUAUAAUUUUAUUUCAAUUCUCAAACUACCUUCUAGCCUCCAAGAAACAACAAAGUUUACAACAAAUUAUAUAAAAACAUGCUUUAAUCUUUUUUCUUGCACAUUUCAUAUACUAUACAUAUAUCUGACUUGGGGAAAACUACUUUUUACAAAGAAAAUGAAUAAUGUAUGAUAUAAAAUAAGUCUAGACUAUCCAUUCUUUAGAAUAUGUUUAAACAGAUUGAACAUUUAGUUAAGAAUUACAGGUAGUCAUUGACUUAUGAUCACAAUUGAGCCCAAAAUUUCUGUUGCUAAGCAACAGAAGCAAUUGUUAAGUGAAUUUUGCCCCAUUUACGAUCUUUCUUGCCAGUCAUUAAGUGAAUCAUUGCAGUUAAGUUAGUAACACUGUUGUUAAAUGAAUCCAGUUCCCCUCGUUGACCUUGUUUGUCAGAAGGUCACAAAAGGUGAUCACAUGAUCCUGGGACACUGUAACUAUCAUAAAUACGUGACCAGAUACCAAGCAGCCAAUUUUUGAUCAUGUGACCACAGGAAUGCUGCAAUGAUUGCAGAAUAUGAAAAAUGGGAAUUAGCCACUUUUUUUCAGUGCCACUGUAACUUCAAACAGUCCCUAAACGAAUGUUCGCAAGUCAAGGACUACAUGUACAUACUGGUACAAUGAGUCAAAACAAUAUCCUAAAUUAUGUUAAUUUAUGCACAGGCUUUAGGACAUUAUAAACUUUUCUCUUUAUAGGGUCUUUGGGCUCAAAACCAAUUAUUGCCAAAGAAAUGGUACAAUCUGUGCAGGACUGAUUCUGUAAAAUACCAGUAUUUAACUGAUUCCUAAAAUAUAGAAGACAAAGGCAAACAAUAUUGGUUUGCUUUUCCCCAUUGUUCCUUCAAUUUUUCAGCAAAAUCAUACUUUAAUCAUUUUGACUCAGCUGCUCUUGAAAAUCACUUAAGACUAUUACAACCUUCCUGAUAUAAAUUUACAAAACUGUUAGCUUGAUGUUAGAUUCCGAAGGACAUUCUAUUGACAACGUAAUUCAACAGCCAAGUACAGAACACACCUAUGCUAAGAAUGCUAAUAAGCGAAGUGCCUAAUUGACUUGACAUUUUACUAACAUACAAACUUCAGUACAUACAAAUGCUAUAAAAUUUUCUUAGACAGCAUUCAGGAGCGAAUGUUUCAUUAAAGUGAAAUAAAUAAGAUUUUAAACUUUGCAAUCUUUAACAACCUCUUAAACAUGUAUUUUUAAUCAUUAUCUACCUUAACACCUCCAGUCUUAAGAAAAAAUGUAUUAAGCCUAGUGAUAUAGUUAUUUAAUCGUAAACAAUAAAAACACCAUGAUGUAAGAAAACCCAGUUGAAUUGUGCUGCUACACAAUUUCUUUGCUGACAGUCUUCUGCUCAACUAUUUUCAACACCUAACUUUGGAAAAGGUUAAUAAGAAAUCUACAUCUGGCAGUCCUAAUCUAAUCUGCUGCACUCUGAGAAACCACCAGGCAUAAUUGUUAGAAAGUGGUAAGACUUGUUUAAAAAAUACUUUUCAUUUGUAAGGUAGUCAAAGCAUCGAACAUCCUUGCUUCUCUGUGUCUUUGCGUCUUUGGGGGAUGAGCAGAAAUGGGAACUAUCUCCAAGAGGCUAUAAAGUAGCCAAAAUAAGAGAAAGAACACACAUUUAGACCCCCAAAAUAUCAUACUAGACAGGAAGAGUACACAAGCUCCUAAAUAGCAAGAGAAUGGGACAAAUUGCUUAUUACAAAAAAAGAA